AGUCCAUGGUGGGGGACAUUCCUUAACAGCUCCUUAUAACGCUCCCAAGACUCAUACAAAGACUCUCCAUCUUGUUGAAAGAAAGUAGUGAUGUCAUUUCUCAUCUU
RNAcentral lists this small nucleolar RNA (107 nucleotides) under Nelumbo nucifera (sacred lotus). Its description in RNAcentral is "Plant small nucleolar RNA R71". It matches the Rfam family "Plant small nucleolar RNA R71". Rfam says of the family: R71 is a member of the C/D box family of snoRNAs containing the C (UGAUGA) and D (CUGA) box motifs. The record is from Rfam by way of RNAcentral. Lineage: Eukaryota; Viridiplantae; Streptophyta; Magnoliopsida; Proteales; Nelumbonaceae.